This 502-nucleotide ribosomal RNA is filed under the name uncultured Lactobacillus sp. RNAcentral describes it as "bacterial SSU rRNA". It matches the Rfam family "Bacterial small subunit ribosomal RNA", at positions 38 to 507 of the family's 1533-position model. The record is from RNAcentral. Lineage: Bacteria; Bacillati; Bacillota; Bacilli; Lactobacillales; Lactobacillaceae.
GGCGGCGUGCCUAAUACAUGCAAGUCGAGCGAGCGGAACCAACAGAUUUACUUCGGUAAUGACGUUGGGAAAGCGAGCGGCGGAUGGGUGAGUAACACGUGGGGAACCUGCCCCUAAGUCUGGGAUACCAUUUGGAAACAGGUGCUAAUACCGGAUAAUAAAGCAGAUCGCAUGAUCAGCUUUUGAAAGGCGGCGUAAGCUGUCGCUAAGGGAUGGCCCCGCGGUGCAUUAGCUAGUUGGUAAGGUAACGGCUUACCAAGGCGACGAUGCAUAGCCAAGUUGAGAGACUGAUCGGCCACAUUGGGACUGAGACACGGCCCAAACUCCUACGGGAGGCAGCAGUAGGGAAUCUUCCACAAUGGACGCAAGUCUGAUGGAGCAACGCCGCGUGAGUGAAGAAGAUUUUCGGAUCGUAAAGCUCUGUUAUUGGUGAAGAAGGAUAGAGGUAGUAACUGGCCUUUAUUUGACGGUAAUCAACCAGAAAGUCACGGCUAACUACGUG